Molecule: long non-coding RNA, 2119 nt
Organism: Anolis carolinensis (green anole)
Lineage: Eukaryota; Metazoa; Chordata; Lepidosauria; Squamata; Anolidae
Exons: 3
Source: RefSeq, a predicted model, not a curated record
GGCAAGCAUAUCCUAGGUCUUACCGCUGAUCCUUCAAUGGUUGGUGCUGAUGAUCCCCAUACAGGCUGGCCUCAGCUCGGGUAGACGAUCCUGCCAAACAGAGUGAAAAAAAGGAGAAUAUUAAUAAGGCUGCAGGUUCGAAUCCUGGGACUGGAGUGAGCACCUGCUGUUAGCCCCAGCUUCUGCCAACCUAGCAGUUCGAAAACAUGCCAAUGGACUUUUUUCGUGUCAGGAGCAACUUGAGAAACUGCAAGUUGCUUCUGGUGUGAGAAAAUUGGCCAUCUGCAAGGACGUUGCCCAGGGGACGCCUGGAUUUUUUUUGGAUGUCUAACCACCUUGUGGGAGGCUUCUUUCAUGUCCCCGCAUGGAGCUGGAGCUAACAGAGGAAGCUCAUCUGCGCUCUCCCUGGGUUGGAUUUGAACUGGCAACCUUCAGAUCAGCAACCCAACCUUCAAGUCAUCAGUCUUGCCGGCACAAGGGUUUAACCCACUGCACCACUGGGGGCUCCACAGGGAUAGGCAAGUAAGACGACGACAUCAUCAUCAUCAUCAUCAUCAUCAUCAUCAUCAUGGCCCCCUUUCUGUUAUCUUAUUCCCAGAGCCUUUCUCAUUUCAACAUGCUUCCGUUUUUCACUGGAUGGGUUGGUGCAAUGGCCAUGUUGGCUUUUAAUAUGUACAGUUGAGUCUCACUUAUCCAACAUAAAUGGGCCGGCAGAACGUUGGUUAAGCGAAUAUGUUGGAUAAUAAGGAGAAGCCUAUUAAACAUCAAAUUAGGUUAUGACUUUACAAAUUAAGCACCAAAACAUCAUGUUAGACAACAAAUUUGGCAGAAAAAGUAGUUCAAUGCUCAGUAAUGCUAUGUAGUAAUUACUGUAUUUAUGAAUUUAGCACCAAAAUAUCACGAUAUAUUGAAAACAUUGACUACAAAAAUGCGUUGGAUAAUCCAGAACAUUGGAUAAGUGAGACUCUACUGUAAUAGGUUUAAUUUUUUCUACAUUGUUUAUAUGGGGCUGGUUCUUUAAUGCUUUUUAUUUUUUAUAUUUAGAUUGUUUUGGCUUUUUAAAAUGUACCUUGUUUUCAUGUACCAUCUUGGCCCCAUAGGUUAGAAAAGUGAGAUAUAAGUUCAAUAAACAAGUACAUACAAUUUAGCUAAACAAACAUUUAGGAAUAAUGUGGCAAUGGAUUGUUGGAGGGCUGUGGCAGAGUCAUUCUGAUUCUCACAGUCCCCGAAUCCUAAAUUUUCCAAGUUCUGAUAAUUUUCAGCUAUGCCACUACCUAUUAUGCCAUACUCCCUGCCAAAGCAUUCCAUAUGCAACCUCAAAUUAAAAAUCAUGGAUUAAAGGUAAGACUUAACUUUGCAACACCCCUCACUGAGUGAUUUGACUUUUUCAAAAGCAUGUUUGCUCAGUGCUUGCCAACUACUUAAUCAGCGAAGGUCGUGGUGGAUGUUCAGCCCGAUGAGCUGCUGUGGACCUCUGCGUAUGUCACAGCCCCCACUGACUUUAAUCAGAUUUUUUCUCAUUAAAAUCCAAACCAACAGCGAGCAAAGGCUGAAGAUUUGGCUUGUUGAAGCAGGAGGCGAUGGAGAUCUUUGGAGAUAGCCACUUAGAAGGUGGUAUCAUUAUCUUUCAGCCGAGCCAGACUUGGCAGUCGUGUCAAAUGAACUCUUAUUUUGCUUUAACGGCAUCCGCAGCCGCUGUCUUAUCAAAAGUUGGAAUGGUAGCAUAUGUUUGUAUGGGGGGUGGUGAGUAGUCAAUCCGACAAAAGGAUGAGCUGAAUCCUGUAUGUGGAUCCAGGAUAUACCUUUUUCCUAAGGAGUUUCUUUGAUAGUGCAAAGAAGUUGUUGAUGGCUUCUGGAUCUUUAAAGAAUUAUUUUGAAAAAUUGCAAUUUAAAGAAAUAUUAAACUCCAUGCGUGCAUGUAUGUGUGAGAGAGCAUGUGUGAGUUUGAGACAAACUAAUUUGAAGGGUAAUCUUCAGUUGUGCAGGUUUCUAGGAUGACAAUUGUUUCUUCUUCUGUUAUGUGCAUAGCAUUGAAUUUUUGCCGCAGUUUGUAAAGCCACUCAGAGUGCCCUUCGGAGUGAGAAGGGCAGGGUAUAAAUAAAGUAUAUUAUUAUUAUUA